Molecule: ribosomal RNA, 434 nt
Filed under: uncultured bacterium
Lineage: Bacteria
Description: partial 16S ribosomal RNA
Rfam family: Bacterial small subunit ribosomal RNA
Source: RNAcentral
GAGCGAACGCUGGCGGCAGGCUUAACACAUGCAAGUCGAGCGGGCCCUUCGGGGUCAGCGGCGGACGGGUGAGUAACGCGUGGGAACGUGCCUUCUGGUCUGGAAUAACCCUGGGAAACUAGGGCUAAUACCGGAUACGCCCUUUUGGGGAAAGGUUUACUGCCGGAAGAUCGGCCCGCGUCUGAUUAGCUAGUUGGUGGGGUAACGGCCUACCAAGGCGACGAUCAGUAGCUGGUCUGAGAGGAUGAUCAGCCACACUGGGACUGAGACACGGCCCAGACUCCUACGGGAGGCAGCAGUGGGGAAUAUUGGACAAUGGGCGCAAGCCUGAUCCAGCCAUGCCGCGUGAGUGAUGAAGGCCUUAGGGUUGUAAAGCUCUUUUAUCCGGGACGAUAAUGACGGUACCGGAGGAAUAAGCCCCGGCUAACUUCGUG